GCGCCCGUACUCCAAGGGAAGAGAGAAUGGCUUUAGGUGCCAUGUGUUGUCGGUUCGAAUCCGACCGGGCGUACCA
Molecule: transfer RNA, 76 nt
Filed under: Streptomyces sp. adm13(2018)
Lineage: Bacteria; Bacillati; Actinomycetota; Actinomycetes; Kitasatosporales; Streptomycetaceae
Also listed under: 3 other names
Description: tRNA-Leu
Rfam family: tRNA
About the family: Transfer RNA (tRNA) molecules are approximately 80 nucleotides in length. Their secondary structure includes four short double-helical elements and three loops (D, anti-codon, and T loops). Further hydrogen bonds mediate the characteristic L-shaped molecular structure. tRNAs have two regions of fundamental functional importance: the anti-codon, which is responsible for specific mRNA codon recognition, and the 3' end, to which the tRNAs corresponding amino acid is attached (by aminoacyl-tRNA synthetases). tRNAs cope with the degeneracy of the genetic code in two manners: having more than one tRNA (with a specific anti-codon) for a particular amino acid; and 'wobble' base-pairing, i.e. permitting non-standard base-pairing at the 3rd anti-codon position.
Source: RNAcentral